Molecule: unclassified non-coding RNA, 894 nt
Filed under: Bombus terrestris (buff-tailed bumblebee)
Lineage: Eukaryota; Metazoa; Arthropoda; Insecta; Hymenoptera; Apidae
Description: misc RNA ENSBTSG00005032602.1
Source: RNAcentral
AAACGAGUAAACUUAAGGUCUGUCAUUUUGACAAAUGCCCUAUCCUCGAUGAAGAUAUCGUAGAGAAACGACGUAAGCGGCAAAGUCCGUUAGGAAAAGGGUGCAGGGAAAAUCGUCGGUUGGUCGAAGAUGAAAAAGUACAAGCUCGGUCGAGCGUUAGAAUCCGUUAGAGAGGAUUUCCGUGUAGGCAAACACGGGGCUGAGUGAAAUAUGUAUGCUAUAUCCUAUAUUUUUUUGGAAACGCAUAAAUCAAACUACACAUUUUUUGAAAAUAUGUAUUAUGAAAAAGGAUAAGCAAUUGACGCGACAGGAACAUCCUGUAGGAAUCCUGCAGUUUGAUUGUGCAAGGCAGAUGCUGCUUCUAAAUAGCAGUUGGUGUCCGCUGUGUUAAACAAUUUGAUUUCGUCUCUGAUUGGGACGCGGGAGAAUCUUGGACGAGGGAUGCAACUCCACGGCCCAGGUCGUGAGGGUCCGCCACAAUCAGUGUAGCCGUAGGGCUACGACUUCGGUAGCCUUCCACGUCAAAAGACGAACUCCGACAUUGUGAUGACAUGGAAUCUUGAUGUUCUGGAAUCUGGACUGUAUUCGUUUCUCCAUGUUCGAGUAAACGUCAUAGAUGUGAAGUUCAAACAUUGAUUUUUCAAUUUAUUAUAGAAGAUAGAAUUUUGUUCAUGCAGGGAUGAAAAUGAUUGAAAUGAUAUCUUAUAGUGUUUUAUAAUCUUGUAGAGGUAAAUGAAUGAGGAGAUAUAAUCAUUUUUUUGUAGAAGAUAUAAAUUUUGGUGAUAAAGAGGUAAAGAAGAUUGGAGUGAUUUUUGUAUUAUUUACAAUUUUGUAGUUGUAUGCAAAGUGAACUUUAAAUAUUGCUUUUGAAAGAAGAUUCAAAUUUUUACAAUA